RNAcentral lists this signal recognition particle RNA (148 nucleotides) under Gorilla gorilla gorilla (western lowland gorilla). RNAcentral describes it as "Metazoan signal recognition particle RNA". It matches the Rfam family "Metazoan signal recognition particle RNA". From Rfam's summary of the family: The signal recognition particle (SRP) is a universally conserved ribonucleoprotein. It is involved in the co-translational targeting of proteins to membranes. The record is from Rfam by way of RNAcentral. Lineage: Eukaryota; Metazoa; Chordata; Mammalia; Primates; Hominidae.
GCUGGGUAUGGUGGCGUGUGCCUAUAGUUCCAGCUACUCGGGAGGCUGAGAUGGGAGGAUGGCUUGAGCCCAGGAGCCAGAGGUUGCAGUGAGCCAAGAUCAUGCCACUGCACUCCAGCCUGGGCAAUAGAGCCAGAUCCUGUCUCAA